UGUAACAGCAACUCCAUGUGGAAGCAUGAGGCAGUUCCCGUGGGGGGGCUGUUAUUUU
Molecule: microRNA precursor, 58 nt
Filed under: Python bivittatus (Burmese python)
Lineage: Eukaryota; Metazoa; Chordata; Lepidosauria; Squamata; Pythonidae
Description: Pbv-Mir-194-P4_pre stem-loop
Source: RNAcentral